Molecule: long non-coding RNA, 1967 nt
Filed under: Malus domestica (apple)
Lineage: Eukaryota; Viridiplantae; Streptophyta; Magnoliopsida; Rosales; Rosaceae
Description: long non-coding RNA (MDOM_LNC012764)
Source: RNAcentral
AAUGGAGUGGUGUUGAAAUGAUUUAAAGGUGAAAGUGAAGUAAUGAUGCAAAGCAUGGGUAAAAUGGAGUGGUGUUGAAAUGAUUCAAAGGUGAAAGUGAAUUGAUGAUUGAUGCAAGAAUUAAACAUGGAUGGAGUGCACGGCAAAGGUUUGUUAUGGUACAAGGAACCCUUAAUUUGUGUCCUAAAAUGCAUGUGAAACCUUCAAUGUUGCUGGAACUUAGGGACAUUUAGGAUUUAGGAAAGAUCAAACCAAAAUAGGAAACCUUGGCUUCACUUUCCUACUUCAAGUAGGAAUCCUCACCUUUAGGUCUUCAAUUUCGUCCAUUCCUCUAGUUCCAAGCAUGUGAUAUUUAUUCCAAGCCCAAAAUUGCUCCAAAAGGCUCUAAAAUGCACAUUUUUGCAUACUUUGUCCUUAGAACCUGAAAUUGCACAAAAAUGACUUUAAACACUAAAACAACUAAGGAAUAGCAACAUAAAUGCAUGAGAACAAGCUAACUCAGUCGCAUAAAUAUGCUCUUAUCAAAAUCCCCUACACUUAGCUUUUGCUAGUCCUCGAGCAAAACAAAAGAAACAAACGAAUCAAAACAAACAGAACACAACUUAACCUUCCAACAUUUGCCUCAGGGAUUUCCAAUGCACAUGACAUGUUAAAAAUCAUCAUUCCCACAGGUUUUGGUCAUCUUCACACUUGAGCACAUACUUAAUUACAGUCACCACUUACUAGUUCGCAAUUAACCAAUUAAAACGAUAUUUUGAAUGUAGUAACAUGCCUUAGAGAAUUUGCUCAAUUCCUUACAAGAUACUCUCUAUUUUCACACACAUUUUCCGACUACACACCCUACACUAGCUAUAUAUGAGCAGAAUGAUGUAAACAUGGAAGACUAGUACUCACAUAUGUUAUAACAAAGAAAGCAAUUUCUGGAGUUAAUAAGCAUGUUUAGAUAUGAUCUCAUGAAUGGAAUGCUACAACUUAGAUGCGAGAACCAGUGACACCAUAUGCUCAUACCAAUUUCAAACUCCACGAAUUGAAACACACAACACUCAAGAUUGAAGUCAAGGGUUGUAACGGGGCUUGGGGGUAAUGGCUAAUAAAGAAAGGAUAGCAAUAACAAACGUUCUUAAAGCGAUAGCAAGCAAAGCAAUGAAAUAAACACUUGGAAUUCACUUUAGAAUGCAGAAUCAACUUUUAAAUACAAAGGGAAGAUUCAUGCAACACUUAGGGCCGAAUUCAAUGUUUUGGACCCUUUUUUAACAAACUUUUUUCUUUUCACUCUUUUUUUUUUUUUUCCUUUUCUACCCGUGCCUUAUUAAGGACUUUGGUACACACACACACACACAAGAAUCACUUCCCCCACAUUUGUUUUAUGCAAUACAUUGAUAAAAAAGGAGUUCAUUUUAAGUUAUGCUUUACUAUGCUUCAAGAACAAGGGUAUGGAUGGUCCUAAAACUAGGCUAGGUAAGUAUAGUGUGGAUUAACAAAGAACAUAGGCUUAACAAGGCUCAACGGGGUUAAACUUAAACACAAAUGAAAUAGGGCCACGACAAUUUGGCUUUGGUGGUCACUACACAACUUCAUCUUGAAUAUGUGUUAUGCAAAUCAAUAGCAUGCUUUGAAUGAAAUAGGCAUGAGUUCUAGCAUUUGGAACUAAAUGAUGAAAUGCCUUCUAAGUAGCAACCAAGCAAAGAAUAAUGAGAUCAUGCAAUGACUUUGGAAAACAAUGAUGCGCAGAUUAUUAACUCUCCAAAUAAACGUUUAGGCUCAAAUCUCACAAGGUUGUAGCGUUCAUUUGAGUUCCUUCCUUCAAGCAUGUUACAAAACUAAUUUUUCCUUUAUGGUUGCAUGUGAAUUCAUAAAUUAUAACCACAACAAAGCAUACACCAAAGAGUAAAUCAAAUUUUCAUCCUGUUUAUAACUCUCUUUAACAGUCAUGUAAUUAAAAACCAAAUCCUCAUCAUUGUGUUGGA